This 264-nucleotide long non-coding RNA is filed under the name Elaeis guineensis (African oil palm). RNAcentral describes it as "long non-coding RNA (EGUI_LNC043434)". The record is from RNAcentral. Lineage: Eukaryota; Viridiplantae; Streptophyta; Magnoliopsida; Arecales; Arecaceae.
UCGACUCCACCAUCCACCCACGCAAGCCUAUUCCACCAAGAGAAGAUCUGCCUCCUCUAGAAUUUUUAUCUAUCGUGCUAAGAGAAAAGAGUGAUCUCUUAUUCUACAGAUCAUAUGCUAUCAAGGACCUUCGUUCCUUCUUAGUUGAUCUUUAAUUUUUAUUUUUUUGUUAGAUCUGAUGUUGGUAAAGAUCUAGUUCUUUAUCGACGGAUGUAUUUGGUUAAAGAUUAAGAGCCCUAAUCAGGAUAGUUUCUUAACUACCAU